This 516-nucleotide ribosomal RNA is filed under the name uncultured bacterium. Its description in RNAcentral is "bacterial SSU rRNA". It matches the Rfam family "Bacterial small subunit ribosomal RNA", at positions 264 to 767 of the family's 1533-position model. The record is from RNAcentral.
CCUACCAAGGCGACGAUCCGUAGCGGGUCUGAGAGGAUGAUCCGCCACACUGGGACUGAGACACGGCCCAGACUCCUACGGGAGGCAGCAGUGGGGAAUUUUGGACAAUGGGCGCAAGCCUGAUCCAGCCAUGCCGCGUGAGUGAAGAAGGGCCUUCGGGGUUGUAAAAGCUCUUUCGGCCGGGAAGAAAUCGCAUGGGUCAAUACCCUGUGUGGAUGACGGUACCGGAAUAAGAAGCACCGGCUAACUACGUGCCAGCAGCCGCGGUAAUACGUAGGGUGCGAGCGUUAAUCGGAAUUACUGGGCGUAAAGCGUGCGCAGGCGGUUUGGUAAGUCAGAUGUGAAAUCCCCGGGCUCAACCUGGGAACUGCAUUUGAGACUGCCAAGCUGGAGUUUGGCAGAGGGGGGUGGAAUUCCACGUGUAGCUAGUGAAAUGCGUAGAGAUGUGGAGGAACACCGAUGGCGAAGGCAGCCCCCUUGGGCCAAUACUGACGCUCAUGCACGAAAGCGUGGGGA